GACGAACGCUGGCGGCGUGCUUAACACAUGCAAGUCGAACGAAGAGCGAUGGAAGCUUGCUUCUAUCAAUCUUAGUGGCGAACGGGUGAGUAACGCGUAAUCAACCUGCCCUUCAGAGGGGGACAACAGUUGGAAACGACUGCUAAUACCGCAUACGAUCCAAUCUCGGCAUCGAGACUGGAUGAAAGGUGGCCUCUAUUUAUAAGCUAUCACUGAAGGAGGGGAUUGCGUCUGAUUAGCUAGUUGGAGGGGUAACGGCCCACCAAGGCGAUGAUCAGUAGCCGGUCUGAGAGGAUGAACGGCCACAUUGGGACUGAGACACGGCCCAGACUCCUACGGGAGGCAGCAGUGGGGAAUCUUCCGCAAUGGACGAAAGUCUGACGGAGCAACGCCGCGUGAGUGAUGACGGCCUUCGGGUUGUAAAGCUCUGUUAAUCGGGACGAAUGGUUCUUGUGCGAAUAGUGCGAGGAUUUGACGGUACCGGAAUAGAAAGCCACGGCUAACUACGUGCCAGCAGCCGCGGUAAUACGUAGGUGGCAAGCGUUGUCCGGAAUUAUUGGGCGUAAAGCGCGCGCAGGCGGAUUGGUCAGUCUGUCUUAAAAGUUCGGGGCUUAACCCCGUGAUGGGAUGGAAACUGCCAAUCUAGAGUAUCGGAGAGGAAAGUGGAAUUCCUAGUGUAGCGGUGAAAUGCGUAGAUAUUAGGAAGAACACCAGUGGCGAAGGCGACUUUCUGGACGAAAACUGACGCUGAGGCGCGAAAGCCAGGGGAGCGAACGGG
This 778-nucleotide ribosomal RNA is filed under the name Veillonella dispar. RNAcentral describes it as "bacterial SSU rRNA". It matches the Rfam family "Bacterial small subunit ribosomal RNA", at positions 28 to 776 of the family's 1533-position model. Lineage: Bacteria; Bacillati; Bacillota; Negativicutes; Veillonellales; Veillonellaceae. The record is from RNAcentral.